Molecule: ribosomal RNA, 397 nt
Filed under: uncultured bacterium
Lineage: Bacteria
Description: partial 16S ribosomal RNA
Rfam family: Bacterial small subunit ribosomal RNA
Source: RNAcentral
CUACGUAGGGGGCGAGCGUUGUCCGGAAUGAUUGGGCGUAAAGGGCGCGUAGGCGGCCCGGUAAGUCUGGAGUGAAAGUCCUGUUUUUAAGAUGGGAAUUGCUUUGGAUACUGUCGGGCUUGAGUGCAGGGGAGGGAAGUGGAAUUCCCAGUGUAGCGGUGAAAUGCGUAGAGAUUGGGAGGAACACCAGUGGCGAAGGCGACUUACUGGACUGUAACUGACGCUGAGGCGCGAAAGUGUGGGGAGCAAACAGGAUUAGAUACCCUGGUAGUCCACACUGUAAACGAUGAAUGCUAGGUGUAGGGGGUAUCGACCCCUUCUGUGCCGCAGUCAACACAAUAAGCAUUCCGCCUGGGGAGUACGGCCGCAAGGUUGAAACUCAAAUGAAUUGACGGGG